Molecule: ribosomal RNA, 474 nt
Filed under: uncultured Enterobacteriaceae bacterium
Lineage: Bacteria; Pseudomonadati; Pseudomonadota; Gammaproteobacteria; Enterobacterales; Enterobacteriaceae
Description: bacterial SSU rRNA
Rfam family: Bacterial small subunit ribosomal RNA
Source: RNAcentral
CGCCCUUAGAGUUUGAUCAUGGCUCAGAUUGAACGCUGGCGGCAGGCUUAACACAUGCAAGUCGAACGGUAUAGGUGCUUGCACCUGACAAGUGGCGGACGGGUGAGUAAUGUAUGGGGAUCUGCCGAAUGGAUUGGGACAACCACUGGAAACGGUGGCUAAUACCGAAUAAUGUUGAGAGACCAAAGUGUUUCGACAUGCCAUUUGAUGAACCCAUAUGGGAUUAGCUAGUAGGCGGGGUAAUGGCCCACCUAGGCGACAAUCUCUAGCUGGUCUGAGAGGAUGACCAGCCACACUGGGACUGAGACACGGCCCAGACUCCUACGGGAGGCAGCAGUGGGGAAUAUUGCACAAUGGGGGAAACCCUGAUGCAGCCAUGCCGCGUGUAUGAAGAAAGCCUUCGGGUUGUAAAGUACUUUCGGUAGUGAGGAAAGGUACUAUUAACAUAGUAAAUUGACGUUAAUUACAGAAGAA